RNAcentral lists this ribosomal RNA (114 nucleotides) under Clematis japonica. RNAcentral describes it as "partial 18S rRNA". It matches the Rfam family "Eukaryotic small subunit ribosomal RNA", at positions 1719 to 1831 of the family's 1831-position model. Lineage: Eukaryota; Viridiplantae; Streptophyta; Magnoliopsida; Ranunculales; Ranunculaceae. The record is from RNAcentral.
AACGUGGGUGGUUCGCCGUCGGCGACGUCGCGAGAAGUCCAUUGAACCUUAUCAUUUAGAGGAAGGAGAAGUCGUAACAAGGUUUCCGUAGGUGAACCUGCGGAAGGAUCAUUG